This 1353-nucleotide long non-coding RNA is filed under the name Accipiter nisus (Eurasian sparrowhawk). Its description in RNAcentral is "lncRNA (ENSANIG00000003651.1)". Lineage: Eukaryota; Metazoa; Chordata; Aves; Accipitriformes; Accipitridae. The record is from RNAcentral.
AUGAAGUGGACUCCCCUCCUGUGCAGUGGAAGGUCUCAGCAUGCCUGUGCUAGGGCAGUGCUAAACCUGCCCAGUUUAGGCCUAGUUUUUUUUUUUUUAAUUAUUUUCUUUAUUUUUAGGGAUUCCCAUCAGGUGGGGAGAAACCAAGGCAGGGAGGCAAUAGGCAAUGCUCUGCAUGGGCACAGCUUUCCUUAUGUGCGUUCUUGGCUGGCUGACUCAGGGUUUCCUGAGAACCUGUUUCAUUCAUCAUGCUUUCCUGCUGCUGGCCGGAGUGAGGAACGUGGUGUUGCUUCCCUGGAGACUGUUUGCCAAGGGUGUGCUCAAAUGCUUGCGUUUGCCUUCAGAUGGUUUGGAGCAAGCCAGCCACAGCUCCACUCAUCUGGGCACAGUAAGCAAGGGGCUCUUGUUGCCAUCCCUGUGACUGCAGAGGACAGUUUUCUCUUUGUGGAGUGGGCAAGGAGUGGGGGCUGGAUUGGGGGCUGCCCACUUGUAACCACAGGUCUGUGUUUCGGUCUCUGUCACCUUUCCAGACCCUAUGUGACCUGGCCGGGGUGGUGCUGGCAGUGGCUGUGCAACUUCCUUGGAUGUUCUGCUGUCUGUCCCAGCCAUGUUGUAAAUAGAUAUUAAUCAUAUAUAUAAAUAUAUAUAUAAUUUUUUACAUGUUCAUCUCUCCUCUCUUUUAGAGUGCUAUGUUUUGUGGUUUUUUUGUUGGUUUGUUUUUUUUUUUAAAAAAGAGGAAAUAGUGAAGAAUUUAAAGGGGUGUUGCAGCUUGGGGGCUGCCCCUGUGCUGAGAGGGGCAAGAGGGAGAGGACAGCUGUCAAACCACACCUUUCCCUGGUUUUCUGAAAUGCCAGGCGUGCUCGUGCAGGAGGGGGAAGUGAUUGUCAGGACACAGGAUGAGAAGUAGGAAGAGCAAUUUACAAGGUUAGUAGUCAUGGAGCAGGGUUAUUUGCAUUCUGCCCCCAGAGCCAGGCAGGCAGGCAGCAAUGGUGUGAUGAUGCUGUCUGCCCUGCUGCAGUGGGAACUGCCCUCGAUCUGGGAGGCAUUCGCAUUCUCAUCCUCUGCUUCUUGUAAAAUAUUACCAUAAGAAUGAGGCUGGCAGUGGUGCGAGGCUUGAUGCCCCCAGGGCUGUUGGGGUGAGCCAGCAGGAAGAUGUUUAGCACCAACUAUCCGGGUGUCUGAGGGACUUGUGCGGCUGGAGCAAGGCCAUCAAAGUGCAGCUGUGGGGUGGGAUGGGGCACAGAGGGAGGGCUUGGGCUCACUGAGCCCAUGCAGGGUUUCAUUGAGGCAGGGAAGGCAGGUGUGGCCAUGCUCUUGUACCCAGGGAUGGUCACUGGGUGGGAGAGGGCAUAU